RNAcentral lists this ribosomal RNA (250 nucleotides) under uncultured Staphylococcus sp. RNAcentral describes it as "partial 16S ribosomal RNA". It matches the Rfam family "Bacterial small subunit ribosomal RNA", at positions 90 to 334 of the family's 1533-position model. The record is from RNAcentral. Lineage: Bacteria; Bacillati; Bacillota; Bacilli; Caryophanales; Staphylococcaceae.
CGUUAGCGGCGGACGGGUGAGUAACACGUGGAUAACCUACCUAUAAGACUGGGAUAACUUCGGGAAACCGGAGCUAAUACCGGAUAAUAUAUUGAACCGCAUGGUUCAAUAGUGAAAGACGGUUUUGCUGUCACUUAUAGAUGGAUCCGCGCCGCAUUAGCUAGUUGGUAAGGUAACGGCUUACCAAGGCAACGAUGCGUAGCCGACCUGAGAGGGUGGUCGUCCACACUGGAACUGAGAAACGGUCCAA